This 495-nucleotide ribosomal RNA is filed under the name uncultured bacterium. Its description in RNAcentral is "partial 16S ribosomal RNA". It matches the Rfam family "Bacterial small subunit ribosomal RNA", at positions 28 to 523 of the family's 1533-position model. The record is from RNAcentral.
GAUGAACGCUGGCGGCGUGCUUAACACACGCAGGUCGAGCGAAGCAUUUUAAAGGAAGUUUUCGGAUGGAAUUUAAAAUGACUGAGCGGCGGACGGGUGAGUAACGCGUGGGUAACCUGCCUCAUACAGGGGGAUAACAGUUAGAAAUGACUGCUAAUACCGCAUAAGCGCACAGUGCUGCAUAGCACAGUGUGAAAAACUCCGGUGGUAUGAGAUGGACCCGCGUAUGAUUAGGUAGUUGGGGAGGUAACGGCCCACCAAGCCGACGAUCAGUAGCCGACCUGAGAGGGUGACCGGCCACAUUGGGACUGAGACACGGCCCAAACUCCUACGGGAGGCAGCAGUGGGGAAUAUUUGACAAUGGGGGAAACCCUGAUCCAGCGACGCCGCGUGAGUGAAGAAGUGUUUCGGCAUGUAAAGCUCUAUCAGCAGGGAAGAAAAAGACGGUACCUGACUAAGAAGCCCCGGCUAACUACGUGCCAGCCGCCGCAGUAA